Long non-coding RNA from Syngnathus acus (greater pipefish), 182 nucleotides. RefSeq lists it as uncharacterized. The record is from RefSeq and is a predicted model, not a curated record. NCBI's taxonomy places the organism in Eukaryota, Metazoa, Chordata, Actinopteri, Syngnathiformes, Syngnathidae. The transcript has 3 exons.
CGUUAAAAACUGGUCAAAUGUUUAAAAAAAAGAUAUUAAAAGUGAAGACAAUUUGCAAUUCUAGUAAUGACACACAAAUUUGAUGCACAAUUUGUCUUCGCGGGCCGCAUAAAAUGAUGCGGCGGGCCGUAGCUGGCCCUCGGGCCUUGAGUUUGACACCUGUACCAUAGAGACCAUGUUAG